Molecule: transfer RNA, 74 nt
Filed under: Portunus trituberculatus (swimming crab)
Lineage: Eukaryota; Metazoa; Arthropoda; Malacostraca; Decapoda; Portunidae
Description: tRNA-Glu
Rfam family: tRNA
About the family: Transfer RNA (tRNA) molecules are approximately 80 nucleotides in length.
Source: RNAcentral
AGCCCGGUAGCUCAGUGAUUAGAGCGCUGGCUUCUCAAGCCAGAGGACCAGGGUUCGAUUCCCCGGCCGAGUGG